GAAAUGCGAUAAGUAAUGUGAAUUGCAGAAUUCAGUGAAUCAUCGAAUCUUUGAACGCACAUUGCGCCCGCCAGCAUUCUGGCGGGCAUGCCUGUCCGAGCGUCAUUUCAACCCUCAGAACCCCUUGCGGGAUCUGGCGUUGGGGAUUGGCAUCCAGCCAGCCCCGAAAUCUAGUGGCGGUCCCUCCGCGACCUCCCCUGUGCAGUAGCGAUACCUCGCAGCGGGACAGCGGUCUGACCACGCCGUAAAACCCCCAACUUCUCAAGGUUGACCUCGAAUCAGGUAGGAAUACCCGCUGAACUUAAGC
Molecule: unclassified non-coding RNA, 307 nt
Filed under: plant metagenome
Description: partial contains 5.8S ribosomal RNA, internal transcribed spacer 2, and large subunit ribosomal RNA
Rfam family: 5.8S ribosomal RNA (bases 1-105)
Source: RNAcentral